This 529-nucleotide ribosomal RNA is filed under the name Boophis entingae. RNAcentral's name for it is "partial 16S ribosomal RNA". It matches the Rfam family "Bacterial large subunit ribosomal RNA", at positions 1854 to 2597 of the family's 2925-position model. The record is from RNAcentral. Lineage: Eukaryota; Metazoa; Chordata; Amphibia; Anura; Mantellidae.
CCAGCCUGCCCAGUGACAAGAUUUAACGGCCGCGGUACCCUAACCGUGCGAAGGUAGCAUAAUCACUUGUUCUUUAAAUGAGGACCAGUAUCAACGGCAUCACGAGGAUCUUACUGUCUCCCCCCUCUAAUCAGUGAAACUGAUCUCUCCGUGAAGAAGCGGGGAUGAACAUAUAAGACGAGAAGACCCCAUGGAGCUUUAAACCCGACAGCACCCACUUAUUUUAUACCCCAUUAUAUACCCAAUGCCUGUCUGCUCGGUUUUAGGUUGGGGUGACCGCGGAGUAUAAGAUAACCUCCAUGAAGAAGGGGAUAAAACGCCUUAUUAGAGAAUGACACUUCCAAAAACUAAUAAACUAAUUUUUAAUGAUCCGACACUCGAUCAACGAACCAAGUUACCCUGGGGAUAACAGCGCAAUCCACCCCGAGAGCCCCUAUCGACAGGUGGGUUUACGACCUCGAUGUUGGAUCAGGGUACCCCAGUGGUGCAGCAGCUACUAAAGGUUCGUUUGUUCAACGAUUAAAACCCU